Small nuclear RNA from Myotis lucifugus (little brown bat), 107 nucleotides. The record is from Ensembl. Lineage: Eukaryota; Metazoa; Chordata; Mammalia; Chiroptera; Vespertilionidae.
GUACUUGCUUCAGCAGCACAUAUACUAAAAUCAGGAGGGUCCAGGGGAGAUGCGCAUGGCCUCUGUGUAAGAAUGACAUGCAAAUUUGUGAAGCGUUCACAUUUUUU